AGAGUUUGAUCCUGGCUCAGAUUGAACGCUGGCGGCAGGCCUAACACAUGCAAGUCGAACGGUAGCACAGAGAGCUUGCUCUCGGGUGACGAGUGGCGGACGGGUGAGUAAUGUCUGGGGAUCUGCCCGAUAGAGGGGGAUAACCACUGGAAACGGUGGCUAAUACCGCAUAACGUCGCAAGACCAAAGAGGGGGACCUUCGGGCCUCUCACUAUCGGAUGAACCCAGAUGGGAUUAGCUAGUAGGCGGGGUAAUGGCCCACCUAGGCGACGAUCCCUAGCUGGUCUGAGAGGAUGACCAGCCACACUGGAACUGAGACACGGUCCAGACUCCUACGGGAGGCAGCAGUGGGGAAUAUUGCACAAUGGGCGCAAGCCUGAUGCAGCCAUGCCGCGUGUAUGAAGAAGGCCUUCGGGUUGUAAAGUACUUUCAGCGGGGAGGAAGGCGAUGCGGUUAAUAACCGCGCCGAUUGACGUUACCCGCAGAAGAAGCACCGGCUAACUCCGUGCCAGCAGCCGCGGUAAUA
RNAcentral lists this ribosomal RNA (526 nucleotides) under uncultured endophytic bacterium. Its description in RNAcentral is "bacterial SSU rRNA". It matches the Rfam family "Bacterial small subunit ribosomal RNA", at positions 8 to 525 of the family's 1533-position model. The record is from RNAcentral.